GGCAGAGUAAUAAGGGUGGAAGAAUUCCUGGAGAUAACCAUUUGUCACCUCUCACUGCCUGGACUCCUUAGCACUCACCUUGCUGGGGUGUGUCCCGGUCCAGAAAUAACCACACCAAGUAGAGGACAGAGAAACACCAGAGCGAGGUACAGAGGAGGAAGAUGCCAACAAGGGAAAAGAGAGUGCCUGGAAGAAAGAUGAGAAAGAAAAAUGACUUCUAUCUUGAAACCACAACAACUGCUCCUUUCCUUCUCAAUGAGAUCCCUGGUCCUCUCCCAGCUGGACCUCUGGCCCUUCCCUCCUUUUGCCCUGGUGUCCAGGUUUGUCACACCUUUCUUUCCAAGGAGGAAGUGUCUUUUAAUUUCAUGGCUGCAGUUACGGUCCGCAGUGAUUAUGGAGACCAGGCUCCCUUCCUCCCAACCGAUCAACUGGGACAGAGUUCAUGGCUGGCACCUUAGCCAAACGCCAGCCAAGGCUUGAGGGCCACAGCAAGGAUUUCAGGCCCCAACAGUGGACCUUCACCUCCUGAUGAGGGGAGGAUGCAGGGCGUCUUGAGCCCAUUGUAGCGGGUGGGCGAGUGGGCCGGGGAGCAGGGCAGGUAGAGGCUGGGUCUCACUGACUACUCACCAACGACGGUGUGGAUGGGCCGGAGGAAGGGCAGGAGGAGGCCCAGCAGGGCCACCCUCAGCACCUACUGCAGUGCUUCCCGUGCCCAUCUCACCCAGGAGCCUGGCAGGCUUGGAAACUGCUGGAAGACCUUGUUCUCCACACAAGAGAAGAUGGAACCAGGGAUGCGCUGGGAGAGCAGGGAGCGCCUGAUUUCCGGCCCUGUGGGCGCUGGGCUCCGGGCUCCUCCCCACCAGCGCCACCCCCGAGGCCCCCACAACGGACACCUCACUCGUGUUCGAAGGCCAACUUGACAAAUUCCUUCUUCUUGUGGAUCAGCAAGCUCUGCUUUGCCUCCAGGGCGCCCGCCUCCCCCCGGCUCCCUGGACCUGAGGUCGGGUCAAGUGAUAGGAGGUGCUGGCUUUGUUAGAGGACACCAAACCUGGUUGGGAGGGAGGGGGCAGGAAGACCUGAGCCAGAGUCUUCCAGAAAAGAGGGAAGAAGGCACGGGGAAAGGACAGUGAUUCUUCACCAGAUGGGGACACAGGGUGCACACCCCAGGUGGGGGGGCGCUAAUGUUGGAUUUUGGGGGUGACGGUCCCAAGAGUCUACUCGGAAGCCCAGCUCCCACGCAGCACAGAGUUCCAGAUGGGGAGAGUGUCCCGGACAUGCCUCCAGAUGGCCUGGUAAGGACUCAGGCAGAGCCACAGCCUCCUGCCUGAGAUAUGUUUCUGUCUCCAUAGAGCCCGUCCAGGUUGAGGACCGCUGGGAUCCAGGCCCCGCUCAGGAGUACAAGGAGCAAGGCAGCCAGACACCCCUGAGCUGGAGGUGGGGUGUGUGUGUGAGGACCCUGACUCCAGAGGUUUCGGAGUCCCAGGUCCCCCCUUUACCCUCUUUGCUGCUCCAUGGCUUCAGGCCCAUCUGUCCUGAAGGAAAUCACUGCUUUUCUCACUCCUUGAAGGAUCCCAUGCCAGGGAUCCCAGCCCCGCCUCCCUCCCACCUUGGCAUCAGGAAGCAGAGAGACAGGCCCAGGGUCCUCAGGGCUUCAGGGACUCACCAAGCUCCAAAAUGGAGAAGAUCCAUUGCAGGAGGCACACACCUGGAGAGCCAAGCGGAGAAGACUGGAGGAGACUGGCCUUCUGCAGAGGGGAGUCACGACACUCUGUCUCUAAGCUUUCUGUCUUUUCGCCCAAUCCUCUGGCCCUACCCCUGAUCUGGGUUAUGCCUUCUUUUCUGCCUCCUCUGAUGAUGAGCACACUGGACAACGGUGAGCCCUGGCAAGGAAGGUUAAUCACUAUUUGGCUUCACAGAGCUGUGACCAAAAGGGGAGGCCAGGGGUGUGACUGGGGAACCUGGGGGUGAGGAAAGUGCUUGGAUUUUGUGGAGGUCAGGACUGGUUCCCUGUUAUGACAGGCUGGGCCAGUGGGGGAUGACCUGUGUGUGUGUACCCUGAACAGCAGGGCUCCCCAUUUGUCACCCGGGCCUGACCCCUGAGGGGUAGAGGGCCCGCAGGAUGAGUUAUUCCCUAAGGAGCAGCUUAGGCCUCUGUGGGGAGACCUCCAGAAGGAAGGGCUUUGUGUGAAUGGCUAAGAAUUGGGGAGCCCCUCCAAGAGAGAGCCCAUCACUCCAAAUGACCCAAAUCCAUUCAUUUUGAUGGCUGAGAGUAUUCCAUUGUAUACACGUACCACCUGUUCUGUAUCCAUUAAUCUGUCAGUAAACAUUUACGGUGCUUCCAUAUCUUGGCUAUUGUAAACAGUACUGCAGUGAAUAUUGGGGUGCAUGUGUCCUUUCUGACGAUGUUCUUCUCCUGAUAAGGAGAGGGUGUGCAG
Bos taurus (domestic cattle) is the source of this 2435-nucleotide long non-coding RNA. The record is from Ensembl. Lineage: Eukaryota; Metazoa; Chordata; Mammalia; Artiodactyla; Bovidae.